AGCUGAAGACCUACCUUAAAAUGUUCUAAAUGGUUCAGCACUAGUCUUUCUAGUCUCUUCUCAAAGGCAGGAAAUGAUGAUAUUUGGGUCUCUACUGAUAAUAUUUUAGCACAUGACAAAAAAUGGCAACAGUCUUAGAUUUGGGGAGCAUCAUUCAUGUGCAUAAUGCAGUCUGACACUCCCUUCGAUGCAAGACCUUCUUCCAGGCUUGAAUUUGUUUCUUUUCCUACACCAAGAAUAAUAACUCUCUUCUAUUGGAGCACCUAUUAGGAGAGAGCAGAGUCCCUCAGCCACUGAAGAGCAUAUCACCGUUUCUGUCACCCCCUGGGAGCGUCCUGUUACUUGACUUCUGUGGAAGAUUCAGUUUGAUCUCUCCUGGAGUCACGACUGGCAUUGAUUCAUAUUGCUGUAAUGAAAAAUUCUAAGGAGCAAAUAAAGGGGAUUUGGUCUUUGAAGCUGUGUUAUAUGCUAACUGCAGCCACACUGUGGAAGUCACACCUCCCCAGAAAAAUAUACAGACUUAGGUCAUUAGGUCAUCUUCCUGAGAUCUGACAUUCUAGGAGACGAGUCC
Molecule: long non-coding RNA, 571 nt
Organism: Lutra lutra (Eurasian river otter)
Lineage: Eukaryota; Metazoa; Chordata; Mammalia; Carnivora; Mustelidae
Exons: 5
Source: RefSeq, a predicted model, not a curated record